CCUACGGGAGGCUGCAGUGAGGAAUAUUGGUCAAUGGACGAGAGUCUGAACCAGCCAAGUAGCGUGAAGGAUGACUGCCCUAGGGGUUGUAAGCUUCUUUUAUAAAGGAAUAAAACGAGGCACGUGUGCCUGUUUGAAUGUACUUUAUGAAUAAGGAUCGGCUAACUCCGUGACAGCAGCCGCGGUAAUACGGAGGAUCCGAGCGUUAUCCGGAUUUAUUGGGUUUAAAGGGAGCGUAGAUGGGUUGUUAAGUCAGUUGUGAAAGUUUGCGGCUCAACAGUAAAAUUGCAAUUGAUACUGGCAGUCUUGAGUACAGUUGAGGUAGGCGGAAUUCGUGGUGUAGCGGUGAAAUGCUUAGAUAUCACGAAGAACCCCGAUUGCGAAGGCAGCUUACUAAACUGUGACUGACAUUGAUGCUCGAAAGUGUGGGUAUCAAACAGGAUUAGAUACCCUUGUAGUC
RNAcentral lists this ribosomal RNA (460 nucleotides) under uncultured bacterium. RNAcentral describes it as "partial 16S ribosomal RNA". It matches the Rfam family "Bacterial small subunit ribosomal RNA", at positions 338 to 795 of the family's 1533-position model. The record is from RNAcentral.